UACGAAGGGGGCUAGCGUUGCUCGGAAUCACUGGGCGUAAAGGGCUCGUAGGCGGCCAACUAAGUCAGACGUGAAAUCCCUAGGCUCAACCUAGGAACUGCGUCUGAUACUGGAUGGCUUGAAUCCGGGAGAGGGAUGCAGAAUUCCAGGUGUAGCGGUGAAAUGCGUAGAUAUCUGGAGGAAUACCGGUGGCGAAGGCGGCAUCCUGGACCGGCAUUGACGCUGAGGAGCGAAAGCCAGGGGAGCAAAGCGGGGAUUAAGCAAAACCCCGAGUAACGUCCAG
RNAcentral lists this ribosomal RNA (283 nucleotides) under uncultured bacterium. RNAcentral describes it as "partial 16S ribosomal RNA". It matches the Rfam family "Bacterial small subunit ribosomal RNA", at positions 524 to 798 of the family's 1533-position model. The record is from RNAcentral.